Molecule: ribosomal RNA, 499 nt
Filed under: uncultured bacterium
Lineage: Bacteria
Description: partial 16S ribosomal RNA
Rfam family: Bacterial small subunit ribosomal RNA
Source: RNAcentral
GACGAACGCUGGCGGCGUGCCUAAUACAUGCAAGUCGAGCGAAGUUUUUCUGGUGCUUGCACUAGAAAAACUUAGCGGCGAACGGGUGAGUAACACGUAAAGAACCUGCCUCAUAGACUGGGACAACUAUUGGAAACGAUAGCUAAUACCGGAUAACAGUAUUUCUCGCAUGAGAGAUAUUUAAAAGUUGGUUAUGCUAACACUAUGAGAUGGCUUUGCGGUGCAUUAGCUAGUUGGUGGGGUAAAGGCCCACCAAGGCGACGAUGCAUAGCCGACCUGAGAGGGUGAUCGGCCACACUGGGACUGAGACACGGCCCAGACUCCUACGGGAGGCAGCAGUAGGGAAUCUUCCGCAAUGGGCGAAAGCUUGACGGAGCAACGCCGCGUGAGUGAAGAAGGAUUUCGGUUCGUAAAGCUCUGUUGUUAGGGAAGAAUGGAUAUGUAGUAACUAUACAUGUAAGAGACGGUACCUAACCAGAAAGCCACGGCUAACUACGUG